Molecule: transfer RNA, 71 nt
Filed under: Trichonephila clavata
Lineage: Eukaryota; Metazoa; Arthropoda; Arachnida; Araneae; Nephilidae
Rfam family: tRNA
About the family: Transfer RNA (tRNA) molecules are approximately 80 nucleotides in length. Their secondary structure includes four short double-helical elements and three loops (D, anti-codon, and T loops).
Source: Rfam by way of RNAcentral
GCAUCGAUGGUUCAAUGGUAGAAUGCUCGUUUCCCAAAGGAGAGACCCGGGUUCGAUUCCCGGACGGUGCA